AAUUUGUUUAUUCUUAGUUCUAUUUAGUUUAUUUUCCGUUUUUUUUUUUUUUUUUUUUUUAAGAGUUUGAUUCUUGCUUAUUUAUUAAUUAAUUAAAUGUUUUUAUAUGUUUAUAUUUAUUAAUUAAUUUAAUAGACAGUAAUUAGUAUUAUUAAUUUAUUUUUAUUUUUUAAGUAGUAAUUUAUUAAGAAUUGAUUAAUAUUGUGCCAGCAUUCGCGGUUAAACAAUAUAUUCAAUUUAAUAGUUUUGGUUUGUAAUUUUAUUAUUUUGUUUAAUUUUUAAAUUAAAAAUUUAGGUGGAAUUUAAUUUUUAAUAUUUAUUUAUUUAAUUUAAAUUUUCGAAAUCUUUAUUUAAACUAGGAUUAGAUACCCUAUUAUUUUAGAUUUAAAUUAUAUAGUAUCCUGAAUAUUAAUAGUUAUGUUCUAUAAAACUCAAAGAAUUUGGCGGUAAUAUUAUUUCUUUUUAGAGGAACCUGUACUUUAAUUGAUAAACCACGAUAGAUUUUACCUUAAUUUUAUUUGUAUAUCUCUAUGGUUGGGAAUAUUUUAUUAGAAUAUUUUCCUUAUCUUUAAUCAAGGAUUUAUAUUAGGUCAAGGUGCAGUUUAUAUUAAGGUGGUUAUGGGUUACUUUAUGUAGUUUACAAUUUGGAUUUAUUAUAUAUUUAUAUAAAUGAAAAGGGAUUUAAUAGUAAUUUUAAUAAAUUAAUUAUUUUGAAUUAAGCUCUAUAUUAUGCACAUAUCGCCCGUCGCUCCUGAUUUUUAUUUGGAUAAGUCGUAACAUAGUAGUUGUACCGGAAGGUGUAGCUAGAUUUAA
Molecule: non-coding RNA, 813 nt
Filed under: Mileewa alara
Lineage: Eukaryota; Metazoa; Arthropoda; Insecta; Hemiptera; Cicadellidae
Source: RNAcentral